AUGGGGAGGUCUCCGUGCUGCUGCCACGACGCCGGCGUGAAGAAAGGGCCGUGGACGGAGGAGGAGGACAAGACUUUGGUGGAGCACAUCCAGAAGCGCGGCGGGAACGUCGGCAGCUGGCGCGGCCUUCCCAAAGCCGCCGGGCUGAACCGCUGCGGCAAGAGCUGCCGCCUCCGGUGGACCAACUACCUCCGCUCCGACAUCAAGCGCGGCAACUUCUCCGAGGAGGAGGAGCGCCUCAUCAUCACCCUCCACGCCGGCCUUGGCAACAAGUGGUCGACGAUCGCGACGCACCUGGACGGCCGGACGGACAACGAGACCAAGAACUACUGGAACACGCACAUCCGCAAGAAGCUCCUGCGCAUGGGCGUCGACCCUGUCACGCACCAGCAGCUGCCACCCGACCAGACCAACCACCACGUCAACGGUGCCGCCGCCGCGCUCCUCCCCGAGGCGCUCCUCUGGGCGGCGGCGGCCACGAGCCUCGGCGGCCUGGGCACCGGCGCCCUCAUGCAGGCGCAGCUUCUGCAGCAGCUGUUCAAGGCCAUCGGCUCUAACAACAGUACCACCGGCCUCAUAGCCAACCUGGCUGCAGCAAACACAGUGCUGAACUCAUGCAGCAGCAUCGUUUCGAACCAGAUGAACUACCUACAGCCGGGUUACCUCUGCAACAUCUCCAAUUUUGUAGAGCAGCACGUGGUGCAGCAGCAGCUGACCUAUGAUACGUCUCCGGGGACAAGCUCCUUUGCAGCAGCUGAACCGGCUGAUCAGCUCUGCAACACUGCCGCUUCAUAUGAUGUUGCACCUGCGGGUGACUGGUCGCCAGCGCAGGAGUUCGGCGGCUUGCUGGAGCCAAUGAUGGAGCUGCCCGGGCUGUGCUCUCUCGAUGGUGACUCUUUCUGGAAGGACAUAUUGGAAGAGAGCUACCGUUUAUAG
RNAcentral lists this ribosomal RNA (936 nucleotides) under Triticum aestivum (bread wheat). Its description in RNAcentral is "partial small subunit ribosomal RNA". Lineage: Eukaryota; Viridiplantae; Streptophyta; Magnoliopsida; Poales; Poaceae. The record is from RNAcentral.